Molecule: non-coding RNA, 74 nt
Organism: Ameiurus melas (black bullhead)
Lineage: Eukaryota; Metazoa; Chordata; Actinopteri; Siluriformes; Ictaluridae
Source: the annotation of a GenBank genome assembly
GGCAGUGGUGGCUUGGCGGUUAAGGCUCUAGGUUACUGAUCUAAAGGUUGGGGGUUCAAGCUCCAGCGCUGCCA